UUACAGCAAUAGCUGUUAGUAAAGUAGAUGAUGUGAGACCAGUUCUCCAGUAUUACAGCCAGUUUGAUAAUCCAUUAGAAAAGUUCCAUGAAAACCAGGCUAAACUCAAGGCGGAGCAAGAAAAACAAGCCCAAUUACAACAGUCACGUGAUGCAAAAAGUGUGACCGGAUUGUGGAACAAGUUGAAGAGAUGAAAUAUUUCACUAAAUAUGGCAGACGAUUUGAGUGUCGGAAUAAAACAUUUAAAUGUUGUUAUAAACAUUAUAAAUGACAAUUUCAUUUUGUGAUGCACUGGAAAACAGUCAACAUAAAGAAGCUCUUGAGAAAUAGAAAAUAGGUUAUUUCGUGCAGGCAGUGAUUAUUUACUAGAUCUAUUUAUAGACAUAUACUGUAUAAGCUUGCCUAGAGGACAGUUUCUUUUU
Molecule: long non-coding RNA, 422 nt
Organism: Ruditapes philippinarum (Manila clam)
Lineage: Eukaryota; Metazoa; Mollusca; Bivalvia; Venerida; Veneridae
Exons: 2
Source: RefSeq, a predicted model, not a curated record